RNAcentral lists this small RNA (29 nucleotides) under Bombyx mori (domestic silkworm). Its description in RNAcentral is "ovarian small RNA-28417". Lineage: Eukaryota; Metazoa; Arthropoda; Insecta; Lepidoptera; Bombycidae. The record is from RNAcentral.
UCGAUAAACGCUUCAACGGCCUCCGGAUC